GACGAACGCUGGCGGCGUGCUUAACACAUGCAAGUCGAACGGAAAGGCCCUGCUUUUGUGGGGUGCUCGAGUGGCGAACGGGUGAGUAACACGUGAGUAACCUGCCCUUGAAUUUGGGAUAACUUCAGGAAACUGGGGCUAAUACCGGAUAGGAGCUCCUGCUGCAUGGUGGGGGUUGGAAAGUUUCGGCGGUUGGGGAUGGACUCGCGGCUUAUCAGCUUGUUGGUGGGGUAGUGGCUUACCAAGGCUUUGACGGGUAGCCGGCCUGAGAGGGUGACCGGCCACAUUGGGACUGAGCUACGGCCCAGACUCCUACGGGAGGCAGCAGUGUGGAAUAUUGCACGAUGGGCGGACGCCUGAUGCAUCAACGCCGCGUGCGGGAUGACGGCCUUCGGGUUGUAAACCGCUUUCGCCUGUGACGAAGCGUGAGUGACGGUAAUGGGUAAAGAAGCACCGGCUAACUACGUG
This 468-nucleotide ribosomal RNA is filed under the name uncultured bacterium. RNAcentral's name for it is "partial 16S ribosomal RNA". It matches the Rfam family "Bacterial small subunit ribosomal RNA", at positions 28 to 507 of the family's 1533-position model. The record is from RNAcentral.